Long non-coding RNA from Oryza brachyantha (malo sina), 536 nucleotides. RefSeq lists it as uncharacterized. The transcript is spliced from 2 exons. The record is from RefSeq and is a predicted model, not a curated record. NCBI's taxonomy places the organism in Eukaryota, Viridiplantae, Streptophyta, Magnoliopsida, Poales, Poaceae.
CUAAGGCUUCUUCCUCUCGCGGCGGCGGCGAAGGCGUCUCUCCUCCUCCGGCGGCGACAAGGCAUCCGAGCUCAACAGCAAGCAACAAAUGGCAGGUGGCAGAAUUGCACAUGCUACCCUUAAGGGGCCCAGUGUGAUCAAGGAGAUCUGCAUUGGGCUCACUCUUGGGCUGGUCGCUGGUGGCCUGUGGAAGAUGCAUCACUGGAACGAGCAGAGGAAGACUAGAUCAUUCUACGACAUGCUCGAGAAGGGUCAGAUCAGUGUUGUCGUUGAGGAGUAGAUCUCGUGUGUCAAAUCUACUUCUGAUCUUUGUGUCUUUGUUUUUGCAAGUUGUUUCUGAAACUCUCUGGAGAGCAUGACAAAGUGAGUGCCGUGGAGAUUGUCAUGAAAAUAAGCAUAGCAAUUUGAGAACAUUUGAUCUAGUUGAAAAUUGCUUCUUUCCUUGUAUUAUCUUUAAUAUGCCUUUCAUACAUGUCAUAACAGCUUCAGGGAUUCAUACCCUGGCAUUAAUCUGAUUUAGAUUUUUGUUCUCUUCA